CAGGUCUUGACAUCCCUUGACAACUCCAGAGAUGGAGCGUUCCCUUCGGGGACAAGGUGACAGGUGGUGCAUGGUUGUCGUCAGCUCGUGUCGUGAGAUGUUGGGUUAAGUCCCGCAACGAGCGCAACCCUUAUUAUUAGUUGCCAGCAUUCAGUUGGGCACUCUAGUGAGACUGCCGGUGACAAACCGGAGGAAGGUGGGGAUGACGUCAAAUCAUCAUGCCCCUUAUGACCUGGGCUACACACGUGCUACAAUGGCGUAUACAACGAGUUGCCAACCCGCGAGGGUGAGCUAAUCUCUUAAAGUACGUCUCAGUUCGGAUUGUAGUCUGCAACUCGCCUACAUGAAGUCGGAAUCGCUAGUAAUCGCGGAUCACCACGCCGCGGUGAAUACGUUCCC
Molecule: ribosomal RNA, 399 nt
Filed under: uncultured bacterium
Lineage: Bacteria
Description: bacterial SSU rRNA
Rfam family: Bacterial small subunit ribosomal RNA
Source: RNAcentral